RNAcentral lists this ribosomal RNA (505 nucleotides) under uncultured bacterium. Its description in RNAcentral is "partial 16S ribosomal RNA". It matches the Rfam family "Bacterial small subunit ribosomal RNA", at positions 28 to 507 of the family's 1533-position model. The record is from RNAcentral.
GACGAACGCUGGCGGCGUGCCUAAUACAUGCAAGUAGAACGCACAGUUUAUACCGUAGCUUGCUACACCAUAGACUGUGAGUUGCGAACGGGUGAGUAACGCGUAGGUAACCUGCCUGGUAGCGGGGGAUAACUAUUGGAAACGAUAGCUAAUACCGCGUAAUAUUAAUUAUUGCAUGAUAAUUAAUUGAAAGGUGCAAUUGCACCACUACCAGAUGGACCUGCGUUGUAUUAGCUAGUAGGUGAGGUAACGGCUCACCUAGGCGACGAUACAUAGCCGACCUGAGAGGGUGAUCGGCCACACUGGGACUGAGACACGGCCCAGACUCCUACGGGAGGCAGCAGGAGGGAAUCUUCGGCAAUGGACGGAAGUCUGACCGAGCAACGCCGCGUGAGUGAAGAAGGUUUUCGGAUCGUAAAGCUCUGUUGUAAGAGAAGAACGGGUGUGAGAGUGGAAAGUUCACACUGUGACGGUAUCUUACCAGAAAGGGACGGCUAACUACGUG